Coregonus clupeaformis (lake whitefish) is the source of this 1373-nucleotide long non-coding RNA. RefSeq lists it as uncharacterized. The record is from RefSeq and is a predicted model, not a curated record. The transcript is spliced from 6 exons. NCBI's taxonomy places the organism in Eukaryota, Metazoa, Chordata, Actinopteri, Salmoniformes, Salmonidae.
CUUUCUCUCAACUAUAUUGAUACGUACAGUAUAACAUCUUCUCUGUGCUUCCUAUGCUGAGUAUCUCUCUCCCUGUAGGCCCCCUCAGCCCCAGAGCACCAACCAGGACCCCCAACAGGACCAAGGAUCUACCCAGGGCCAGGCUCCUGAUACUGGGUAUACACAUCAGCAGCAUGAUGCUGCUGGUGCUUCUGCUGCUGGACCAAGUCAUGUGACUUACGUCCAGAUUCAACUGAACAAGUUUGACAAGAAAAAGAAAGUAAAGAGAGAUUAUCCAAAAUAAAAUCCUGUCUACUCUGAGGUGAAGACAGGGGAAGCCACAGCAGCUGGACCUGUUGAUGUGACCUAUGCUGAGGUUGACCUCCAAAAGAAGGUCAAAGCCAAUAAGAAGAGAGAAAAAGCAACCCCACCAGCGGCAGAUUGUAUUUUCUUAAGUGAAGCCACACACAGCCCCAGGUUGUUGUUCUAGAAGCUGACAGCCUAGUGAAUGUUCCAGCAGGUGAGAGGCCAGAACCACAGCCCUCUUCCAUCUCUGAAGGUGACAUCAAUCCACGACACUGCAGGGAGACCAGGAGCAGCAGUACCAGCAGUAGCAGGAGGAGAAGAAGUCCAUCCAGGAGACAAAGAGUACACUUCACCAGAAGAGAGGACAGAAUCACAGAGCCCUUCUGAGGCAGAGCCUACAUCAGUCUUCCAUAGUCUUCUACAGCACCGUAAAGAAACCAGCUGCAGCACAACGCCAUCGAGUGGACAAAGACUGGAAUAACUUCAACAAACCAGACAGUGUACUGGACAAAAGGAGAUACAUUACCCCUCCAUCCCUCUCCAUAGCUAGGUUUCCAUUAAUUUGUCCAGUGAUCUUUUGUUAACAUUUAGCAAGUUUGCAUAGAAAAUAGAUGUGACAAUAGAGGAGGUCCAUAAAGAUGGCGGCCUCCAUGCACUUACCACACAUUCUUUGUUUGGCUAAGUUCAGCGUAUUUUGCAUUGCUCUCCAUUAAUAUUUCUUUGUAAGUUCAUUAGCACAAUAUACAUAAUAUAAAUGUUAGCUUCAAGACGCCAGAAAUUUCAAAAAGUAGAUUGUGCUUCAUUGAACCAUGUCGUGCGCCGUAAUUAAAAAAUUCAGUGGAUAAUGCUAAAAUAAUGAUGUCAUAUCUGAAUUCUGCCAUAUUUAUGCAUGUGUGCCAUUAUCUGCUAUAGUGCAUUUCCAUUGAACUGACUUGAGAAGUCAUUGAUUGAAUUGGAGUUUCAGUUUACUUCCUGAAUUGGACCCAAUUAAUCAAUCAAUCAACUAUUCCAUCAACCAACCAACCAGUCAGUCAUCUGGGUAUAUCAUUAUUUUUCUAAUAUAUACUGUAUGUCUAAUUAUUAAUAAG